RNAcentral lists this long non-coding RNA (576 nucleotides) under Cyanoderma ruficeps (rufous-capped babbler). Its description in RNAcentral is "lncRNA (ENSCRFG00000003237.1)". The record is from RNAcentral. Lineage: Eukaryota; Metazoa; Chordata; Aves; Passeriformes; Timaliidae.
GGGGUCGCUCGGAGCGGCGGCGGCCGGCGGGGAACGGGCCCGCGGGGCCGGCCGGGAGCGGCGCCGGGCGGAGGGCGGCGGCGGCCACCACCGAGGAGCGGCGGCGGCAAAGUUUUGGUGUGGGGGGCCAGAGGCGCGGAGGGGGAUUACGAUCCGUGCCGGCGAGGGAUUCCCAGACACCGCCAGGCAGGCUAGAUCUGGCAGAUAGCGGCUAUGAGGACUUUGCUGACUUCAGAAAGCUGACAGAAACCAACAGACUUCACUGAAAUACCCCUCCAAGCACAGAGACUUUUCGUAGCUUUAAAGUAACCUGUUGUUCAUCAGCGAAGACAUGGCUAAUGGUUCUUUCAGCACACAUGGAGGAAGGCAACAAAAAUUGUAACCCUGGCUAAUAAGACUGUGUUUUCCUUAUCAAAAGUAGGAGGCAGGCCAAUUAUAAAAGGAUUAUUUCAUGCUUAGCCUCCAGGACUUUAACUCUGGCCUGAACACUGGACAUAAGUAGAAGCCAAUUUUAAUGACCUGAGAUUUUGUUACCUGUGCAUUAUUAUUGUUAUCAGUUCUUAAACACUUUGGUAC